This 577-nucleotide long non-coding RNA is filed under the name Nicotiana tabacum (common tobacco). Its description in RNAcentral is "long non-coding RNA (NTAB_LNC017369)". The record is from RNAcentral. Lineage: Eukaryota; Viridiplantae; Streptophyta; Magnoliopsida; Solanales; Solanaceae.
AAACGUAUUCCCGUAUUUUACUGGUGGGCGACCUAGAACUGAAAUGUAUUCCCACAUUUUACUGGUGGGCGACCUAGAACUGAAAUGUAUUCCCGCAUUAUACUGGUGGGUGACCUAGAACUGAAAUGUAUUCCCGCAUUUUACAGGUGGGCGACCUAGAACUGAAAAGUAUUCCCGCAUUUUACUGGUGGGCGACCUAGAGCUGAAAUGUAUUCCCGCAUUUUACUGGUGGGCGAUCUAGAGCUGAAAUGUAUUCCCGCAUUUUACUGGUGGGCGACCUAGAGCUGAAACGUAUUCCCGCAUUUUACUGGUGGGCGACCUAGAACUGAAACGUAUUCCCGCAUUUUACUGGUGGGCGACCUAGAACUGAAAUGUAUUCCCGCAUUAUACUGGUGGGCGACCUAGAACUGAAAUGUAUUCCCGCAUUUUACUAGUGGGCGACCUAGAACUGAAAUGUAUUCCCGCAUUUUACUGGUGGGCGACCUAGAACUGAAAUGUAUUCCCGCAUUUUACUGGUGGGCGACCUAGAACUGAAAUGUAUUCCCGCAUUUUACUGGUGGGCGACCUAGAACUGAAA